AUCAAGAGUAGACUCCUAAAGAGGGGUCGGCUCCUCACAGAACUAUUUUUCUAUUUGAAAUUGCGAGUCGACUCCUCCAGAUUCGAGAAUCGAAAAAAUAAUUCAAGGAGUUUAGAUUCAAAGAAAAAUUGACUCAAAUUAAAUAUGGAUCAAUAGUAAAUCAAAUUAAUAAUCAAGAAAGAUAUUCAAAUCAAUUUAGAAAAUCAAAAAUUAAUCAAUUGAGGGUAUGAUAAUUAGUCAAAUUAAAUCAAGG
This 253-nucleotide long non-coding RNA is filed under the name Elaeis guineensis (African oil palm). RNAcentral describes it as "long non-coding RNA (EGUI_LNC036478)". Lineage: Eukaryota; Viridiplantae; Streptophyta; Magnoliopsida; Arecales; Arecaceae. The record is from RNAcentral.